RNAcentral lists this ribosomal RNA (123 nucleotides) under Phyllodistomum hyporhamphi. RNAcentral describes it as "partial 5.8S ribosomal RNA". It matches the Rfam family "5.8S ribosomal RNA", at positions 33 to 154 of the family's 154-position model. Rfam says of the family: 5.8S ribosomal RNA (5.8S rRNA) is a component of the large subunit of the eukaryotic ribosome. It is transcribed by RNA polymerase I as part of the 45S precursor that also contains 18S and 28S rRNA. The record is from RNAcentral. Lineage: Eukaryota; Metazoa; Platyhelminthes; Trematoda; Plagiorchiida; Gorgoderidae.
UGUCGAUGAAGAGCGCAGCCAACUGUGUGAAUUAAUGUGAACUGCAUGCUGCUUUGAACAUCGACAUCUUGAACGCAUAUUGCGGCUACAGGCUAGCUUGUAGCCACGCCUGUCCGAGGGUCG